UCCGCAUAGGCUUUGCCAUGGUGCUCAUGCUGACGGUUUUUGCGGCCUGGAACGAUAUCAACUGGCUCUUCGGAUAGGGGCGGAGUCUUGGGCGGGAGCGGACAUCGUUAAGGAUUCGGGGAGCGAGUGAGUUUCGCCGGCUGCUCGAUAACGGUUUGUUUACGAUAAUAAGAGGCCGUAGUGGCUGUUAAGCCACGGUUGGA
This 203-nucleotide small RNA is filed under the name Sinorhizobium meliloti 2011. Its description in RNAcentral is "putative ncRNA". Lineage: Bacteria; Pseudomonadati; Pseudomonadota; Alphaproteobacteria; Hyphomicrobiales; Rhizobiaceae. The record is from RNAcentral.